Molecule: ribosomal RNA, 477 nt
Filed under: Staphylococcus aureus
Lineage: Bacteria; Bacillati; Bacillota; Bacilli; Caryophanales; Staphylococcaceae
Description: partial 23S ribosomal RNA
Rfam family: Bacterial large subunit ribosomal RNA
Source: RNAcentral
UAAGUAAGCUUUGAUCCAGAGAUUUCCGAAUGGGGAAACCCAGCAUGAGUUAUGUCAUGUUAUCGAUAUGUGAAUACAUAGCAUAUCAGAAGGCACACCCGGAGAACUGAAACAUCUUAGUACCCGGAGGAAGAGAAAGAAAAUUCGAUUCCCUUAGUAGCGGCGAGCGAAACGGGAAGAGCCCAAACCAACAAGCUUGCUUGUUGGGGUUGUAGGACACUCUAUACGGAGUUACAAAGGACGACAUUAGACGAAUCAUCUGGAAAGAUGAAUCAAAGAAGGUAAUAAUCCUGUAGUCGAAAAUGUUGUCUCUCUUGAGUGGAUCCUGAGUACGACGGAGCACGUGAAAUUCCGUCGGAAUCUGGGAGGACCAUCUCCUAAGGCUAAAUACUCUCUAGUGACCGAUAGUGAACCAGUACCGUGAGGGAAAGGUGAAAAGCACCCCGGAAGGGGAGUGAAAUAGAACCUGAAACCGUG